This 1464-nucleotide ribosomal RNA is filed under the name Salmonella enterica subsp. enterica serovar Enteritidis. RNAcentral's name for it is "bacterial SSU rRNA". It matches the Rfam family "Bacterial small subunit ribosomal RNA". The record is from RNAcentral. Lineage: Bacteria; Pseudomonadati; Pseudomonadota; Gammaproteobacteria; Enterobacterales; Enterobacteriaceae.
UUUGCUGACGAGUGGCGGACGGGUGAGUAAUGUCUGGGAAACUGCCUGAUGGAGGGGGAUAACUACUGGAAACGGUGGCUAAUACCGCAUAACGUCGCAAGACCAAAGAGGGGGACCUUCGGGCCUCUUGCCAUCAGAUGUGCCCAGAUGGGAUUAGCUUGUUGGUGAGGUAACGGCUCACCAAGGCGACGAUCCCUAGCUGGUCUGAGAGGAUGACCAGCCACACUGGAACUGAGACACGGUCCAGACUCCUACGGGAGGCAGCAGUGGGGAAUAUUGCACAAUGGGCGCAAGCCUGAUGCAGCCAUGCCGCGUGUAUGAAGAAGGCCUUCGGGUUGUAAAGUACUUUCAGCGGGGAGGAAGGUGUUGUGGUUAAUAACCGCAGCAAUUGACGUUACCCGCAGAAGAAGCACCGGCUAACUCCGUGCCAGCAGCCGCGGUAAUACGGAGGGUGCAAGCGUUAAUCGGAAUUACUGGGCGUAAAGCGCACGCAGGCGGUCUGUCAAGUCGGAUGUGAAAUCCCCGGGCUCAACCUGGGAACUGCAUUCGAAACUGGCAGGCUUGAGUCUUGUAGAGGGGGGUAGAAUUCCAGGUGUAGCGGUGAAAUGCGUAGAGAUCUGGAGGAAUACCGGUGGCGAAGGCGGCCCCCUGGACAAAGACUGACGCUCAGGUGCGAAAGCGUGGGGAGCAAACAGGAUUAGAUACCCUGGUAGUCCACGCCGUAAACGAUGUCUACUUGGAGGUUGUGCCCUUGAGGCGUGGCUUCCGGAGCUAACGCGUUAAGUAGACCGCCUGGGGAGUACGGCCGCAAGGUUAAAACUCAAAUGAAUUGACGGGGGCCCGCACAAGCGGUGGAGCAUGUGGUUUAAUUCGAUGCAACGCGAAGAACCUUACCUGGUCUUGACAUCCACAGAAGAAUCCAGAGAUGGAUUUGUGCCUUCGGGAACUGUGAGACAGGUGCUGCAUGGCUGUCGUCAGCUCGUGUUGUGAAAUGUUGGGUUAAGUCCCGCAACGAGCGCAACCCUUAUCCUUUGUUGCCAGCGGUUAGGCCGGGAACUCAAAGGAGACUGCCAGUGAUAAACUGGAGGAAGGUGGGGAUGACGUCAAGUCAUCAUGGCCCUUACGACCAGGGCUACACACGUGCUACAAUGGCGCAUACAAAGAGAAGCGACCUCGCGAGAGCAAGCGGACCUCAUAAAGUGCGUCGUAGUCCGGAUUGGAGUCUGCAACUCGACUCCAUGAAGUCGGAAUCGCUAGUAAUCGUGGAUCAGAAUGCCACGGUGAAUACGUUCCCGGGCCUUGUACACACCGCCCGUCACACCAUGGGAGUGGGUUGCAAAAGAAGUAGGUAGCUUAACCUUCGGGAGGGCGCUUACCACUUUGUGAUUCAUGACUGGGGUGAAGUCGUAACAAGGUAACCGUAGGGGAACCUGCGGUUGGAUCACCUCCUUACCUUAAAGAAGC